AGCAUUUGAAUGCAGCAUAGCUAUUCAUAUCAUCACUGUGAGAAUACAUGAUUUGAAGAUUUAGUUGCUAAAUGUCUGGUCUACCUGGAUUUGGUAUGUGAACUCCUUGGGGAGAUCUGGUGAAUGCCAAGAAUAAUGCAAGAUGCUCCAAUGGACAAGAAAACUAGAUGUUAGAUCACAAGCAGAAUGUGCAUGUCUUGGAUCACCUGAACCAGCUAAGGAGGGAGACUGAACUGAGAGAAAAGGACCAUCUUGCAGCACUAGGGUCCUCAGGAUCCAACCUGUCCACCUUUGUCUACCCCUACACCUCACCCAGCUAGCAAUCCAGAAUGAUUAUACGACCAGUUAUAACAUGAUGCAGAUAUUUGUUAAAACAAAAACUGAAUUCAGUCAUAAAGAAGAAUAAUACUAUGGCAUGUGCAGAUAAAUGGAUGGC
Sciurus carolinensis (gray squirrel) is the source of this 436-nucleotide long non-coding RNA. RefSeq lists it as uncharacterized. The transcript is spliced from 5 exons. The record is from RefSeq and is a predicted model, not a curated record. NCBI's taxonomy places the organism in Eukaryota, Metazoa, Chordata, Mammalia, Rodentia, Sciuridae.